GAGGAUCGCUUGAGCCCAGGAGGUUGAGGUUGCAGUGAACUGGGACUGCACCACUGCACUCCAGCCUGAGUGACAGAGCAAGACCCUGUCUC
RNAcentral lists this microRNA precursor (92 nucleotides) under Propithecus coquereli (Coquerel's sifaka). RNAcentral describes it as "miRNA (ENSPCOG00000000285.1)". The record is from RNAcentral. Lineage: Eukaryota; Metazoa; Chordata; Mammalia; Primates; Indriidae.